AUCACUAGAUAUUUGUCCAAAACUUUAAGUAUUUCAACAUUUUUCCCAAAAAAGCAGUUAUAAAUUGAAAUUUUUUAACUAAGAGCAAACCGCUAAUCCAAGUGAGUUUUUUGGGCUUUUAUUCAUCUCAUAUUUAUAAAAUUAAUCAUUACAAUGAAAAAAGACAAUGAAUUUAUAAUUAACAAUUUACUAUGGUUUCAUAUUCUGAGAACAUUAGUCUUCUUUCACAUCUUCACAUAGUAAGUGAAUUUUACAAUCCUGAAUAAUGACUAAAGAUCUCUACAAAGAUUUUCUGAGGUUAAAAAAAAUGUAUUGUUUUUGUAACGUAUUUAUUGUUACUCUUCUUAGGUAUGACAGUCAUUUGGAAAUUUGAGCAUUGUCAGUAUAGCUACUCUCCAAGCUUCCAGGUUCUCUCCGCGUCUGGCUCAUCUUAUGCCUGGCCUUGGGUACUGCUAUCAGUCUUACCUUGUUUCUUCUGAUCUGCGUUCUCAUCUCAGCUUCCUGCCCAACCCUCCUACAUUGCAUAAAUUUCUUCCCAAUAUGUUUGCUCUACAACAAAUGGUAUUAUUUUUGAGGUCUUCAGAUUCCUUCUGCAGUCUAGAAACACACCUACCUCUCCAGAUGGACCUCCUAAGACCUGGAUCCCUAUUUCAACUGCCUAUUUUACACCUUUUUCAUCCUCAGCAUCAGAGGAAUCAUAGGGCUGAGAUCAAAGAUAUACAACAAAGAUCGGAGGCAAGAUGUUGUCAGUGCCAAAGGAGUCAAAACACAUAUGAAACUAUCCUCCCCAGCCACAGCUGGAUACAAAGGUGUUACUCAGAGGGUGUGAGGUGGGGUGAUGCAGUCCACUCCUGGCACCAUUGAGACCCACUUGUACCCUACAUUAAAGGCAAUUCAUCACUGAGUGUUCAAGGUGGUGGCCUCUUCAAAAAGCUUAAUAUGCAACAGUUAGAUGCAGAAGCUACAGACGCUGUAACUGGUACUCAAAUCAUAAUUCGUAUUUAUCAUUUCACUUCUCUAUUGCACUUUGUAAUUUCUCUCUCCCUUUUGUCCACCAGGUUGUUCAGUCCGUUUUGAUGAUCUAGGUUGCUUGCCUAAGGGAGUC
This 1105-nucleotide long non-coding RNA is filed under the name Cebus imitator (Panamanian white-faced capuchin). RNAcentral describes it as "lncRNA (ENSCCAG00000038222.1)". The record is from RNAcentral. Lineage: Eukaryota; Metazoa; Chordata; Mammalia; Primates; Cebidae.